Molecule: ribosomal RNA, 825 nt
Filed under: Bifidobacterium pullorum subsp. saeculare
Lineage: Bacteria; Bacillati; Actinomycetota; Actinomycetes; Bifidobacteriales; Bifidobacteriaceae
Description: bacterial SSU rRNA
Rfam family: Bacterial small subunit ribosomal RNA
Source: RNAcentral
CGCCGGGUACGGGCGGGCUGGAGUGCGGCAGGGGAGACUGGAAUUCCCGGUGUAACGGUGGAAUGUGUAGAUAUCGGGAAGAACACCAAUGGCGAAGGCAGGUCUCUGGGCCGUUACUGACGCUGAGGAGCGAAAGCGUGGGGAGCGAACAGGAUUAGAUACCCUGGUAGUCCACGCCGUAAACGGUGGAUGCUGGAUGUGGGGCCCUUUCCACGGGUUCCGUGUCGGAGCUAACGCGUUAAGCAUCCCGCCUGGGGAGUACGGCCGCAAGGCUAAAACUCAAAGAAAUUGACGGGGGCCCGCACAAGCGGCGGAGCAUGCGGAUUAAUUCGAUGCAACGCGAAGAACCUUACCUGGGCUUGACAUGUUCCCGACGACCUCAGAGAUGGGGUUUCCCUUCGGGGCGGGUUCACAGGUGGUGCAUGGUCGUCGUCAGCUCGUGUCGUGAGAUGUUGGGUUAAGUCCCGCAACGAGCGCAACCCUCGCCCCGUGUUGCCAGCGCGUCAUGGCGGGAACUCACGGGGGACCGCCGGGGUUAACCCGGAGGAAGGCGGGGAUGACGUCAGAUCAUCAUGCCCCUUACGUCCAGGGCUUCACGCAUGCUACAAUGGCCGGUACAACGGGAUGCGACAUGGCGACAUGGAGCGGAUCCCUGAAAACCGGUCUCAGUUCGGAUCGCAGUCUGCAACUCGACUGCGUGAAGGCGGAGUCGCUAGUAAUCGCGAAUCAGCAACGUCGCGGUGAAUGCGUUCCCGGGCCUUGUACACACCGCCCGUCAAGUCAUGAAAGUGGGCAGCACCCGAAGCCGGUGGCCUAACCCUUGUG